ACGAACGCUGGCGGCGUGCUUAACACAUGCAAGUCGAACGGAAAGGCCCUGCUUUUGUGGGGUGCUCGAGUGGCGAACGGGUGAGUAACACGUGAGUAACCUGCCCUUGACUUUGGGAUAACUUCAGGAAACUGGGGCUAAUACCGGCUAGGAGCUCCUGCUGCAUGGUGGGGGUUGGAAAGUUUCGGCGGUUGGGGAUGGACUCGCGGCUUAUCAGCUUGUUGGUGGGGUAGUGGCUUACCAAGGCUUUGACGGGUAGCCGGGCUGAGAGGGUGACCGGCCACAUUGGGACGGAGAUACGGCCCAGACUCCUACGGGAGGCAGCAGUGGGGAAUAUUGCACAAUGGGCGGAAGCCUGAUGCAGCAACGCCGCGUGCGGGAUGACGGCCUUCGGGUUGUAAACCGCUUUCGCCUGUGACGAAGCGUGAGUGACGGUAAUGGGUAAAGAAGCACCGGCUAACUACGUG
RNAcentral lists this ribosomal RNA (467 nucleotides) under uncultured bacterium. Its description in RNAcentral is "partial 16S ribosomal RNA". It matches the Rfam family "Bacterial small subunit ribosomal RNA", at positions 29 to 507 of the family's 1533-position model. The record is from RNAcentral.